UACGGAGGGUGCAAGCGUUAUCCGGAUUCACUGGGUUUAAAGGGUGCGUAGGCGGGCAGGUAAGUCCGUGGUGAAAUCUCUGAGCUUAACUCAGAAACUGCCAUGGAUACUAUUUGUCUUGAAUAUUGUGGAGGUAAGCGGAAUAUGUCAUGUAGCGGUGAAAUGCGUAGAGAUUGGAAAGAACACCGAUGGCGAAGGCACUUUACUGGGCUAUUACUAACACUCAGAGACGAAAGCUAGGGUAGCAAAUGGG
Molecule: ribosomal RNA, 253 nt
Filed under: uncultured bacterium
Lineage: Bacteria
Description: partial 16S ribosomal RNA
Rfam family: Bacterial small subunit ribosomal RNA
Source: RNAcentral